This 373-nucleotide ribosomal RNA is filed under the name uncultured organism. RNAcentral's name for it is "partial 16S ribosomal RNA". It matches the Rfam family "Bacterial small subunit ribosomal RNA", at positions 527 to 896 of the family's 1533-position model. The record is from RNAcentral.
GUAGGUGGCAAGCGUUGUCCGGAAUUAUUGGGCGUAAAGCGCGCGCAGGGCGGUCCUUUAAGUCUGAUGUGAAAGCCCACGGCUCAACCGUGGAGGGUCAUUGGAAACUGGGGGACUUGAGUACAGAAGAGGAAAGCGGAAUUCCAAGUGUAGCGGUGGAAUGCGUAGAGAUUUGGAGGAACACCAGUGGCGAAGGCGGCUUUCUGGUCUGUAACUGACGCUGAGGCGCGAAAGCGUGGGGAGCAAACAGGAUUAGAUACCCUGGUAGUCCACGCCGUAAACGAUGAGUGCUAAGUGUUAGGGGGUUUCCGCCCCUUAGUGCUGCAGCUAACGCAUUAAGCACUCCGCCUGGGGAGUACGGCCGCAAAGGCUG